Molecule: long non-coding RNA, 1546 nt
Filed under: Numida meleagris (helmeted guineafowl)
Lineage: Eukaryota; Metazoa; Chordata; Aves; Galliformes; Numididae
Description: lncRNA (ENSNMEG00000018783.1)
Source: RNAcentral
AUGACUCCAUCUCAGCAGACCCUAGUGGGGGGAUUUUAUGCAGUGUGGGCAGAUAAUGGUAGGGGAUGGGGGCCAAUUUUUGACCCCCAGAGGGCCGUUAGGAGGCCGUGGUGGCCAUCAGGCAGAAAAAAAAGGGCAAAAUUGUGGUUUGAGCAUGGGAGACAAGCAGGGCUGCUGUCAGUCAGGGUGGCUGCAGAACACUGGAGGGCAAAUUCUGCCCGAGGAGUAAUGGGGCCGGGACAGAGAAGAGCAGAACUAGGCAACCCCGUGGAAACGGGUGUGUGGAAAUGGCUGGCGUGCUCUGCCUGGGUUUUUAUAGUGCUGUCCCAAAGAGAGCAUAAUGCCAGAUUACUGGCUGGUGUUAAGCAGGCUCUGCUCUACGGCCUCCUGGGCACCCCCAGAAGCCGCUGUUUCCAAUGUCCUUGUGCUGGGUGCCAUCAGAUACCGUAUUCUUCCAAGAUUCCUUCCAAGACACAUCGCCAAACUUCAUGGAGAAUCCCCACGCCUUCAGAAUCACAUUGCCCCUGGGAUAACAUGGAUCUGAUAGAGAAUCUCAAUCUUGACCUGUACAGAGCAGUACGUCUUGCGUCCAAAACACAAGAAAAUGUAUUGCCUUCGUCUUGCUUUCUUAAAAGCGACAACCUGUCAGAUGAAAAAUAAAUCUGCUAGCUGGCCCUUCCUGCCCCAAACCUCUUACGGCUCCAGCUCAUGUUUGUUUCUGAACACUCUCUGCCAACAUUUCUUUUUCCUCUCGUACUGAUACUUAAUGCCUUAAGUGCUUGGAAAGAUAAACACUGUCUUUAAGCAGCACAAUCUCUUGAUCAGUUUAUCUGAGGAUUAUUACACGAGUGCACAGAGGAGUGAGUCAUAAAUUGAGCACAUUUUUGCCCCAGCUGGUGAUUUCAUUGGGACCAGUGAGAUCGCAUAUUCCAAAAGAACCAUGAAAAUGGGACACGGAGGAGAUUCAACCAACAAUUUUGUUCAGUUAACAAAACCCACUGUGAUGGGGCAGCAAGCUACGUAAGUGUGACCCACGCUUCCUGGUGCUGGGGGGUGAAGAGAGAAGAUGCUUUCUUAGGAUCAGAUAAAGAUACGCAAGCCUUUGUUUGCAACAGUACUCUUUUUCCCUCUCAGUGCCAUUUUGAUACAUUAAGUUGCCUGAAGAAGUGUUUAUGACUUUUGCCAAAUGCUACUUUCAGAACAGUCAGAAAAGCUGACGCAUCCCAAUGGGAAAAGGAUAUAAGAAUUGAAGUGGAAUUAACUUAAACCAGCACGAGUUCAUCCUCUUAAAUCUGAACCGGAAAAGAAACGAAGGAAGUUUGGUUUUGGUGCAUGUUGGACCAAAAUAUAAGAGUUUGAACAAUGUGCUGGGGAAGAGCUCCAAUAGAAACAUAAGGGCAGAUUAAAAGAAGGGAUGAGACUCGCUGCCCGAGAGCUGCCCCGAAUCAGCUUGCAGAGCACUGUGUGAAAUGAUAGUGAUUAGAACUUAAAGUCUGAAGAGUCCAGUUAGGACAACUGCCAAUUAACUAAUGUUCUGUUAAUGCAG